UCUGGGACCAGCAGUGACACACGUCAGACAAAGGAUCUGUUUUUCUAUAAAUGAAGGAGAAGUCUGCCCAUUUGCUGAGCUACCAACUAGUUAAUCACUGGCAAGUCUGCCUUCCUCCAGCAGCAACUCUUGUGUGCUCUAUUGUAUAUCUGACUGCAGUGAGCACACUGGGAAACUCAUCUGGUAACAGAGAUUUCUGCAUUUCUUCAUCAUAAGGUUUUCUUAAAAGAGCUGCGGAUUAAAAUGACACGCAAGAUUUUCACUAACACCAGAGAGAGAUGGAGGCAGCAGAAUGUUAAUAGUGCAUUUGCUGAGCUAAGGAAGCUUAUCCCAACCCACCCACCAGACAAGAAACUAAGCAAGAAUGAAACAUUGAGACUGGCUAUGCGGUACAUCAACUUCCUAAUUGAUAUCCUUGGGGAUCAAGAAAUAAGGAAAACUGGAGGAAAUUCUCGAAGAAAUAUUUUAGGUCUGUUUGAGUCAGAACACUCAGGUGUGGAAGACUGGACUGCUAUGGGUCACAGCAAUGACUCUUCCCCAGGGAUGAGCAGUGACACACAGGACUGCUGGUCAUUGGCCCCCUCACCAUAAAGCUGAGAAAAUGGGCGUAUUAUGCGCCAUUUAGGUGUAUGUGCGUUAACCUAUUGUGCUGAAUUAGUUAUGUAAUGGGGACAUAUUGAUAUUGUUUUCAAAUAACUUAUUUUUAAAUACAUGGUUCUAUACAAGCCAAGACUGUCUGACAUACCUGCAGUGAGACAGUUGUCUUAAUAGCAUGCUUUAAAUGUAAUGUUGAUAGUACAGCUCUUAUUAUGGUUCUGUUGUCACACGCUAAAUGCCAUUUCAUAAGGCUGUCUUUGCAGCAGAUGCUUUCAUUGACCACACUGACAAGGUGCAGAACUGGGCAAGCACAAGGAAAUGAUAUUCACAUCAGAGAUCAAAGCUUCCAUUAUACUUGCACCACUUUAGAAUGAACCACACUUAGGUGAUCAGGGUAGCUAAAAAGGGAUGGUCAAAAGAAUUGUGUAUACUUGGCUACCUCAAUUCUUAUUUUCUUAUCUUUCAUAGAUAAGAAAAUUGGGGGGUUCAUAAAUGGAAAUAUUAGAUAUUGCCUACGUAAGCAGCAUUUAGUGGAUAUUACAAUGCUACCUUUUAAAAUAAUCUGGAAGAGGACAUUUGUUGUUUUUGGUAGAUAAGGUACACACAGUGUCCAUGGCACAACAUGCUGGAAAGAGAAAUAGGCUGUAUAUUUUACCUUCUUUAAUUAAACAUGCUUCAGAUGCAGAUUUGUGUCUUGAAAAGACCACUCGUAGAUGGGGAUAUCGGGAGAAGAUCUUACCGUGUAUGGCCACCUUUAGUGUAAAACUUACAAUAGUAAUUUUGAUAAUGUAAAUUAAAUGAAUGAACCUAAAAUAUUUGAUUGAUUGGUCAUGGCCAUUCUCUCGCAGAAAUGCUUAGCAAAUAUAUGGAGGCUGUGUAAAUGGAGAGACUUUUGGUUUAUUUUGGGAGUUGUUUAAUUGUUGAAACACUGGGUCAAAAUGGCAAAAACUUGACCUCCAUUUGUCCUGCCAAUCUGCACUGCCUUAUUGUCAAAUAAGAACUGACAGAAGUGCGCAAGGGCUGUGAAUUCUCACAGGGGCUGUUUUGACACCCAAAGUAAAAAAAAAGCCACCCAAAAUCUCCCAAAUCUCCCUUAAAACUCAACAGCAAGCCCAUAUAGCUGGACUUGGAACCCUCUGAAGUGAUAUCUGUUUUUUGUUCUUCCAUUUGUGAAUAUAUUUUGUCUGCAAAAAUUACUCCUAAUGAAAUAAGACUCUCUAAACUUGUUUAUGUUGAUGACUGGAUUUGAUUUCCACCCGUAUUUAUUAAGAUGAUUUUGUAGGUUGGUAAUAAAAUAAUUGUGAGCUUUUCCAACAUAUAUUUAUAGUUAGUCGCACCAACCAAAGAAUUUUUUUUCAGGGUUUCAAAAUUUGUGAAAUGUAUACUUGUAUUUAUUUGUUAAUAUAUUCCAAUAAAUUAUUGAAUUAUGUUUUUCAUAUAUA
This is a non-coding RNA of Xenopus tropicalis (tropical clawed frog), 2039 nucleotides long. The record is from RefSeq and is a predicted model, not a curated record. NCBI's taxonomy places the organism in Eukaryota, Metazoa, Chordata, Amphibia, Anura, Pipidae.